GGAGGAUGGAUCAUUAGUACCAGAUAGAACAUCGGAUAUUAUAUUGAUAACACCAAUUGUUGGUUGGUUGUGAUUGUCAGAAGUUACGUCUGUCAGAGGCCUGUACUCUCUAAUUUUGGCCGAUCUGACAUAUUUACUGAAGUAACCCUAAUGCACCAAGGUUUCUAUCUCAUCUCGCAGAUGUCUGCAUUCUUCGGUGUCA
Molecule: long non-coding RNA, 202 nt
Filed under: Elaeis guineensis (African oil palm)
Lineage: Eukaryota; Viridiplantae; Streptophyta; Magnoliopsida; Arecales; Arecaceae
Description: long non-coding RNA (EGUI_LNC069285)
Source: RNAcentral